This 2448-nucleotide ribosomal RNA is filed under the name Triticum aestivum (bread wheat). Its description in RNAcentral is "partial small subunit ribosomal RNA". The record is from RNAcentral. Lineage: Eukaryota; Viridiplantae; Streptophyta; Magnoliopsida; Poales; Poaceae.
AUGGGUGGCAUGGCUAGUCCCCACCUUGUUCAUCAUAUCAUCCUCCGCAAGCUCAGGAUGAGUGUCAUGGCAAAUUCUCAGAGUGUUCACAGCACCAUCCUCCACAAGCUAUCUCUACUCCUCCUCAUUUGCUCGCUCCUCGGGUACAAUUGUGAAUCUAUGAGCAGGAAGGCUGAAAAGGCAGCACUUCUAAGCCUUGAGAAAUACUGGGGCAAACAGACGAAAAUCAAGUGGAGCUCCAUCAUGUACGCAGAUCAGUGUAAUUGGGAUGGAGUCAUUUGUAAUUUUGAUGGCUUUGUUACAGGAAUUUCAGUCGGAGGCUACAAGCUUGCCAAGUCAAUUCCUUCAGAAAUUUGCUCGUUCAAGAACCUUACAGACAUUGACCUUUCACACAACAACAUUCCAGGUUCUUUCCCUGUGGUUCUUUUCAGUUGCUCAAGCCUUGAACAACUGGACCUCUCUUACAAUUCUUUUGUUGGUAGUCUUCCAUUAAAUAUCCAUUUACUGUCAAAAUCGAUUACCUACCUUAACCUUGAAUCGAAUAGUUUAUCCGGUAGUAUUCCAAGUUCAAUCUACCAGCUUUCAUCCUUAGAAGUUCUGAAACUAUCUUUCAAUCCCUUUGAUUCACACAGAAUCGACCCACAGCUAGGAAAUUUGACAAACCUAGGAGAAUUGUCAAUGAGUUCUAUGAAUAUAGUUGGUGAAAUUCCAGACACUAUAACCAAGCUAACCCGACUUACAACCUUAGAUUUGUCUUCUAACACAUUGAAUGGGACAAUACCGACUGGGAUUUGGAGCAUGCAGAAUCUAGAGUUCCUUGAUCUACAGAGGAACUCUCUAUCUGGUUGCAUACUAGAUGAUCCCCAUGAGCUCAUGAAUCUGUCCCAACUUAAAACCUUAGAUUUGUCUUCUAACACACUGAAUGGGACAAUACCGACUGAGAUUUGGAGCAUGCAGAAUCUAGAGUUCCUAAAUCUACACAGGAACUCUCUAUCUGGUUGCAUACCAGAUGAUCCCCAUGAGCUCAUGAAUCUGUCCCCACUUAAAACCUUAGAUUUGUCUUCUAACACACUUAAUGGGACAAUACCUACUGUGAUUUGGAGAAUGCAGAAUCUGAAUCGCCUCGCUCUACACAAUAACUAUAUAUCCGGUCGCAUACUGGAUGAUUUCUGUAAGCUUAAGUAUCUGUCCCAACUUUUAUUGAACGACAAUCUUCUAUCCGGCCCACUACCAGAAAACGUUACACAGUUACAAUUAACCUCCAUCUUCCUCGAUUUCUCUAGUAACCAACUGACUGGCAAGAUUCCAUCUUCUUUCGAGUUGAGAAAAUUUGAAUGGAGCUUUCUUUCCAAUCCCGGCUUAUGUUCCUCCAACCACUUUGGAAACUUUCCUACGUGCACCAGAUUGCACUUGAAGAUGUUUGUAAUAAUUCUCCUGGUCUCUGGUUCAGCCAUUCUCAUAUGCACAGGGCUGAUUGGUUUAACUAAGAUCAAGGCAUUUUUCUCAAUGGAAAAGGAUGAUGCCCCAUCUCCACUGUGGAAGCUGACAGCCUUCCAAGCUAUUGAUUAUGACAUUGAGGACAUCCAUUGCAACCUCAUUGAUGCAAACCUUGUUGGCAGCGGUGGCUCAGGAAAUGUGUAUAAGAUCUGCCUUGACAACACAAACCGUGAGGUUAUAGCUGUCAAGCAAAUAUGGACCAGUGGCAGACGGGAACAUGAUAUGCUGGAAAAGCAGUUUCAAGCUGAAAUUGAGAUUCUUGGAUCCAUCCGACACACCAAUAUCGUGAAGUUGUGUGGCUACAUAUCCAGCUCCGAAUCAAAGCUCCUCAUAUACGAAUACAUGGAAAACGGUAGCUUGUAUGAAUGGCUGCAUCACAAAGAUGACCCUACUAGUACAACUGGACGGUUGUUGAACUGGCCGACAAGGAUGUCAAUAGCAAUCGAUGCCGCAAGAGGACUGUGUUACAUGCAUGACGGUUGCUCUCCCCCUAUAGCACACCGCGAUGUGAAAUCCAGCAACAUCCUGCUGGAUCCUCAGUUCAAAGCAAAGAUUGCGGACUUUGGCCUAGCUCGUGCACUGCUUAAAGCCGGUGAGCCAGAGUUAGUCUCGGCAGUGGUUGGGUCCUUUGGAUACAUAGCUCCAGAGUUUGGAAGCUCGAGAAAAAUGAAUGAGAAAGUUGAUGUGUACAGCUUUGGGGUGGUUCUCCUGGAGCUGACAACAGGGAGGCGUGCGAAUGGUGGCGGCGGGUACGAGAAUUUGGCGCAAUGGACGUGGAGGCAAUUUAAGGAUGAGGGCUUCCAUUUGACAAAUGUGAUCGACGCAGACAUAAGUGAUCCAGCCUACCUACGCGAGGUACAACUGGUGCUCCAGCUAGGGCUAAUUUGCACGGGCACGGAUCCAUCGUCAAGGCCGUCCAUGAAGCAGGUUCUGCAGGUCCUGCAACGCUGA